GACGGAGGGUGCAAGCGUUGCUCGGAAUCACUGGGCGUAAAGGGUGCGUAGGCGGUCUCGCAAGUCUGGCGUGAAAGCCCAAGGCUCAGCCUUGGAAGUGCGCUCGAAACGGCGAGGCUGGAGUGCCGGAGGGGAGAGUGGAAUUCCCGGUGUAGCGGUGAAAUGCGCAGAUAUCGGGAGGAACACCUAUGGCGAAGGCAGCUCGCUGGGACGUUACUGACGCUGAGACGCGAAAGCGUGGGGAGCAAACAGG
RNAcentral lists this ribosomal RNA (253 nucleotides) under uncultured bacterium. Its description in RNAcentral is "partial 16S ribosomal RNA". It matches the Rfam family "Bacterial small subunit ribosomal RNA", at positions 524 to 776 of the family's 1533-position model. The record is from RNAcentral.